GAGUUUGAUCUUGGCUCAGAUUGAACGCUGGCGGCAUGCCUUACACAUGCAAGUCGAACGGCAGCACGGGAGCUUGCUCCUGGUGGCGAGUGGCGAACGGGUGAGUAAUGCAUCGGAACGUAUCCUGGAGUGGGGGAUAACGUAGCGAAAGUUACGCUAAUACCGCAUAUUCUGUGAGCAGGAAAGCGGGGGGACCUUCGGGCCUCGCGCUCUUGGAGCGGCCGAUGUCGGAUUAGCUAGUUGGUGAGGUAAAGGCUCACCAAGGCGACGAUCCGUAGCAGGUCUGAGAGGAUGAUCUGCCACACUGGAACUGAGACACGGUCCAGACUCCUACGGGAGGCAGCAGUGGGGAAUUUUGGACAAUGGGGGCAACCCUGAUCCAGCCAUGCCGCGUGAGUGAAGAAGGCC
This 408-nucleotide ribosomal RNA is filed under the name bacterium enrichment culture clone ALO1_GLFRUDD03G37EO. Its description in RNAcentral is "bacterial SSU rRNA". It matches the Rfam family "Bacterial small subunit ribosomal RNA", at positions 9 to 416 of the family's 1533-position model. The record is from RNAcentral. RNAcentral also lists the same sequence under 1 other name.